This 255-nucleotide ribosomal RNA is filed under the name uncultured bacterium. RNAcentral describes it as "partial 16S ribosomal RNA". It matches the Rfam family "Bacterial small subunit ribosomal RNA", at positions 524 to 776 of the family's 1533-position model. The record is from RNAcentral.
UACGUAGGGUGCGAGCGUUAAUCGGAAUUACUGGGCGUAAAGCGUGCGCAGGCGGUCUUUUAAGUCAGAUGUGAAAUCCCCGGGCUUAACCUGGGAACUGCGUUUGAAACUGGAAGGCUAGAGUGUGGCAGAGGGGGGUGGAAUUCCACGUGUAGCAGUGAAAUGCGUAGAGAUGCGGAGGAACACCGAUGGCGAAGGCAGCCCCCCUGGGCUAGCACUGACGCUCAGGCACGAAAGGCGUGGGGAGCAAACAGG